Molecule: ribosomal RNA, 447 nt
Filed under: uncultured bacterium
Lineage: Bacteria
Description: bacterial SSU rRNA
Rfam family: Bacterial small subunit ribosomal RNA
Source: RNAcentral
UCGGGAAUUUUGGGCAAUGGGCGAAAGCCUGACCCAGCAACGCCGCGUGAAGGAUGAAGUAUUUCGGUAUGUAAACUUCGAAAGAAUAGGAAGAAUAAAUGACGGUACUAUUUAUAAGGUCCGGCUAACUACGUGCCAGCAGCCGCGGUAAUACGUAGGGACCAAGCGUUGUUCGGAUUUACUGGGCGUAAAGGGCGCGUAGGCGGCGUGGUAAGUCAUCUGUGAAAUCUCCGAGCUUAACUCGGAACGGUCAGAUGAUACUGUCGCGCUAGAGUGCAGAAGGGGCAAUCGGAAUUCUUGGUGUAGCGGUGAAAUGCGUAGAUAUCAAGAGGAACACCUGAGGUGAAGACGGGUUGCUGGGCUGACACUGACGCUGAGGCGCGAAAGCCAGGGGAGCAAACGGGAUUAGAUACCCAGGUAGUCCCUGAGCGGGCUGGCAAGGCGCAU